RNAcentral lists this ribosomal RNA (332 nucleotides) under uncultured bacterium. RNAcentral describes it as "bacterial SSU rRNA". It matches the Rfam family "Bacterial small subunit ribosomal RNA", at positions 568 to 898 of the family's 1533-position model. The record is from RNAcentral.
CGUGUAGGCGGUCGGCCAAGUCCGGUGUGAAAGCCCGGGGCUCAGCCCCGGAAGUGCACCGGAAACUAGCCGACUUGAGCGCGAUAGAGGAGGGUGGAAUUCCUGGUGUAGCGGUGAAAUGCGUAGAUAUCAGGAGGAACAUCGGCGGCGAAGGCGGCCCUCUGGCUCGUUGCCGACGCUGAGACGCGAAAGCGUGGGGAGCAAACAGGAUUAGAUACCCUGGUAGUCCACGCUGUAAACGAUGGGUACUAGGUGUUCGGGGUGUUGACCCCCUGAGUGCCGACGCUAACGCAUUAAGUACCCCGCCUGGGGACUACGGCCGCAAGGCUAAA